Molecule: long non-coding RNA, 1899 nt
Organism: Bactrocera oleae (olive fruit fly)
Lineage: Eukaryota; Metazoa; Arthropoda; Insecta; Diptera; Tephritidae
Source: RefSeq, a predicted model, not a curated record
GUAAAAAUUUAAUUAUUAUUUUUAUAUAUAAUUAAUAUCUUUAGGGUUUGCCAAAACUUUGGUGGUCGGUCAGCAAAUUCCAGAAGAAAAUAUCCCAGUUAGUUUAAGCCCAGCCAAAAUACCCCAAAAUAAAAAAUACCCUAAAAAAACUAACGCGCUACAAAAUAUUCCAAUUACAAAUAUCCAAUACCGAAAGAUCCCAACAAAAAGGUCACAAGAUAAACAAAUCCCAUAUCUAACAUAGUGUUAAAAUAUUUUCCGCUCUUUAUAAUUUGUUUUAAAUGACUAUUAUCGCUAUAUUCAUUCAAUAUUUAGGCUUAAUAUAUGUCAUUACUAUAUAUGUACAUUAGUAUAGUCUGAAGUACAAUAACGCAGUCCCAAUAUCUGAGGUGCAAGUAAACAGUACACGUCGGUCAAACCUCUAAAAAUAUUUUAUUUUAUUGUAUAAUAAAUACUAAGUAGCCAUCGAUAUAUAGAUCUUAGUGAAUAAUAUUGAAAAAUGCCUUUGGAAUUUAUUAUCAACCAGAAAGGAAGUAAAAAUCUUCAUUUGGAGGGAUUUAUAUACACCGCAAAUCAGACGAAAAAGUCACAUGGCGAUCUGUUAAUUACAAUACAAAGAAAUGCAUAGCACGUGUUUAUACUAGCAAUAUGGAAGAUGAUGGUGUUGUAUUAUCGAGAACUGAGCAAAAUCAUUUACCAAAUGUGGCAAUGGUUCAAGCGAGUAAGGUUAUUGCAAAUAUAAUAUAAGAGACAUGGCUUCGACAUCAAAUAUGCCAACAAGCCAUCAAACACUGUUCGUAAUAUGUCACAGUCAACCGCCAGACAAUUAACUAUCCGUUCAAAUGUUAGUCGUACCAUUUGUCGAAUUCGUGUUGAUAUAACAUAUAUAGUAGCUCCAGCCACUCCGACAACAAUCGCUCAACUCGUUAUUGGUAAUGAAUAUAAGAAUACUGCGAAGGAUGAAGUGUGUUAAUGUUGUGAUUCUUGCGAUCAACAAGUUAAAUGUAAGGAAAGAUUUUGAAUUUUUGCAACUCAGCAAAAUUUAAAUCUGUUACGCUCAAGUGAUCGAUGGUAUACCGAUGGUACUUUUCGGACCGUACCUAAUAUAUAAUAUUUUAUCAGUUAUACAAGUAUACGAUACAUGGAUCGAUUAAAGGUAGAGUAAUGCAUUACAUUAGAACCUCGACUGCUAUUAAAAAGGUAUUUCCGGAUUGUUCUAAUAAAGGAUGCGUAUUUCAUUAUGCGCAGUGUAUUCUUCGUAAAAAGAAGUUGUGGACUCCAUCUUUCGUACCAACGUGGUGGUGAUAACGCCAUGCACAUGAAGAUGUUUUAUGCCUUAGUGUACGGUCCUGUUUCUAACGUUCUUUCUGUUUACGAGUCUAUGAUAAAAAUAAAAUUUUUUGUAAAUCAUGAAGAUGAGUUGAGUGAAUUUUUGGUUUAUAUGGAGAAUACUUUGAUUGGUAAGCAAACUCGUCGCGGCGAACGCCAACUUGGCACAUAAGACAUCGCAGUAUGAAAUCACUAUAAGUCAACCGUCGUUCAAGUAAAGCGAUCAAACAAUGCGAUAGAGGGGUGGCACUAUGCGUUCAAUAUUCGCAUCCAAAAUACUUACGUAGAGAUAUGAGCAUUUAUAGAAUUUCGAACACUAUGUUCGAGAUGAGCAAGCGUAAAUGGAGUUCGAAUUGAAAUAAUCGUGAGGAGCGUCCAGCUAAGAAACGUAAAUACCAAAAUCACGAUCGUCGUCUCCUAAAUGUUGUUAAAUCCUAGGAUAAUGUCGAGCAGUUAGAGUAUUUACGUUGGGUAGCUCAUAAUCUUGAAUAUUAGUAUUGAUCUUAAUAUUUAUUAUAAAAGUAUGUAAUUAUUGAAAAUAUAUUAAUAACGAUAUUUAUUGUAAAUAUA